GGCUCAGAUUGUUCGCUGGCGGCAGGCCUUUCACAUGCUUGUCGAGCGGCAGCGGGACCUUCGGGUUGCCGGCGAGCGGCGGACGGGUGAGUUUUGCCUAGGUUUCUGCCUGUUAGUGGGGGAUUUCGCGGGGUUACUCGCGCUUUUACCGCAUACGUCCUACGGGAGAAAGUGGGGGACCCUCGGGCCUCACGCUAACAGAUGAGCCUAGGUCGGAUUAGCUAGUUGGUGGGGUUUAGGCCCACCUUGGCGACGAUCCGUUUCUGGUCUGAGAGGAUGAUCAGUCACACUGGUUCUGAGACACGGUCCAGACUCCUACGGGAGGCAGCAGUGGGGUUUAUUGGACAAUGGGCGUUAGCCUGAUCCAGCCAUGCCGCGUGUGUGUUGUUGGUCUUCGGAUUGUUUAGCACUUUUUGUUGGGAGGUUGGGCGCUCGGUGUUUACCCUUGCGUCUUGACGUUACCGACAGUUUUUGCACCGGCUUUCUUCGUGCCAGCAGCCGCGGUUUUACGUUGGGUGCUUGCGUUUUUCGGUUUUACUGGGCGUUUAGCGCGCGUAGGUGGUUCGGCUUGUUGGAUGUGUUAGCCCCGGGCUCUUCCUGGGUUCCGCAUCCUUUUCUACUGGGCUAGAGUACGGUAGAGGGUGGUGGUUUUUCCUGUGUAGCGGUGUUAUGCGUAGAUAUAGGUUGGUUCACCAGUGGCGUUGGCGACCACCUGGACCGAUACUGACACUGAGGUGCGUUAGCGUGGGGAGCUUACAGGAUUAGAUACCCUGGUAGUCCACGCCGUUUACGAUGUCGACUAGCCGUUGGGCUCCUUGAGAGCUUAGUGGCGCAGCUUUCGCAUUUUGUCGACCGCCUGGGGAGUACGGCGCAAGGUUUUUUCUCUUAUGUUUUGACGGGGGCCCGCACUUGCGGUGGAGCAUGUGGUUUUUUUCGUUGCUUCGCGUUGUUCCUUACCUGGCCUUGACAUCCUGCGUUCUUUCUUGAGAUUGAUGGGUGCCUUCGGGAGCGCAGAGACAGGUGCUGCAUGGCUGUCGUCAGCUCGUGUCGUGAGAUGUUGGGUUUUGUCCCGUUUCGAGCGCUUCCCUUGUCCUUAGUUACCAGCGAUUCGGUCGGGCACUCUUUGGAGACUGCCGGUGACUUACCGGAGGUUGGUGGGGAUGACGUCAAGUCAUCAUGGCCCUUACGGCCAGGGCUACACACGUGCUACUUUGGUCGGUACUUAGGGUUGCCUUGUCGCGAGGCGGAGCUUUUCCCAGUUUUCCGAUCGUAGUCCGGAUCGCAGUCUGCUUCUCGACUGCGUGUUGUCGGUUUCGCUAGUUUUCGCGUUUCAGAAUGUCGCGGUGUUUACGUUCCCGGGCCUUGUACACACCGCCCGUCACACCAUGGGAGUGGGUUGCUCCAGUUGUAGCUAGUCUUUCCCUCGGGAGGACGGUUACCACGGAGUGAUUCAUGACUGGGGUGUUGUCG
This 1470-nucleotide ribosomal RNA is filed under the name Azotobacter vinelandii. Its description in RNAcentral is "bacterial SSU rRNA". It matches the Rfam family "Bacterial small subunit ribosomal RNA". Lineage: Bacteria; Pseudomonadati; Pseudomonadota; Gammaproteobacteria; Pseudomonadales; Pseudomonadaceae. The record is from RNAcentral.